ACGUGAUAGUAGCAUUUUAGCACGGCAUCCAUGCCUUGUUUUGAAGUUCAGGAAACCAUGUUUUCCUUUUACCCAAAUCCCUUUCUUUCUUUUACUUGCAAAAACUAGCCUUUUCAGCAACUAAACAAUAGGCGCGUAUUCUGAAAGUCCUUGAAUACACUUGCAAGUUUUAAAAGAUACAAACCCCGCUGGGAAAGGGAGUGACAUAACCCAUAAAUUUGCCCUUUGUGGAAUGUUAUCUAGAAUCCAUGUUUUCCAUUGUUCAAUUCUCACAUGUAAUCAAUGUCUUUUAUUGUUUGAUCACUUGCUUUAUGACGUAUCACAUAUACCAAAUGUAUGUAUCGUUUGUUUCUGCACCCUAUAAAAGGUCUUCGCCCCCCUUAAUAAAGGCUUUUUGCUUUUGCCUGAA
Long non-coding RNA from Candoia aspera, 409 nucleotides. RefSeq lists it as uncharacterized. The record is from RefSeq and is a predicted model, not a curated record. The transcript has 2 exons. NCBI's taxonomy places the organism in Eukaryota, Metazoa, Chordata, Lepidosauria, Squamata, Candoiidae.